This 1521-nucleotide ribosomal RNA is filed under the name Triticum aestivum (bread wheat). RNAcentral describes it as "partial small subunit ribosomal RNA". Lineage: Eukaryota; Viridiplantae; Streptophyta; Magnoliopsida; Poales; Poaceae. The record is from RNAcentral.
AUGGGGGCCGAGGCAGCCACCCCGCCGGCCGUGCUCCUCGUGCCGUUCCCGGCGCAGGGCCACGUCACGCCCAUGCUGCGCCUGGCGCGCGCCCUCGCCGCGCACGGCGCCGCGGUCACCGUCGCCGUGCCGGACUUCAUCUACCGCCGCAUCGCGGGGACGGCGGCCGGCAGCGACGAGGACGGCGUGGCGCUUGCGUCCAUCCCCAGCGGCGUCGCGGACGUCGGCGACGGCGACCCGCCAGGGUUCGCAGACUUCGGGCACGCCAUGGAGCACCACAUGCCCGCGCACCUGGAGCGCCUGCUGGCGCGCCGCCGCGUGGCGUGCGUCGUGGUGGACGUGCUGGCGUCGUGGGCCGUCCCCGUGGCCGAGCGGUGCGGCGUGCCGGCGGCCGGGUUCUGGCCCGCGAUGCUGGCGAGCUACCGCGUCGUGGCCGCCAUCCCGGAGCUCAUGGAGGAGGGGCUCAUCUCAGAAUCUGGCACCCCUCAAUCAUCGCAGAAUCAGUCCGACGACGACGGGCUCAGCCAGGGCAAGAUGCUUCGAGCCCUCAACAUCUUGCCGGCAGAGGUAGAGCUCAAGAACGAAGAGCUGCCAUGGCUCGUGGGUGACUCGGCUACCCAGAAAUCGAGGUUCGCGUUCUGGCUCCGGGCUCUGCACCGCGCGCGGAGCUUCCGUUCCGUCCUCGUCAACUCCUUCCCCGGCGAGGCCGGCGAUCUUGCCGCCGCAGCAGACGACGGCCACCCGGCGCGGCAGGGCCCGCGGGUCUUCCCUGUGGGGCCGCUGUUGGCGGCCGGCGGGGGCGACAACAGCACGGAGCAGCGAGCGAAAGGCGACGGGCCCCCGGUGGCACCGUGCAAGCAGCAACCCAGCAGCAUGUGGCAGGCAGACUCGACGUGCAUGGGCUGGCUGGACAUGCAACGUGCGGCGUCAGUGGUGUACGUCUCGUUCGGCAGCUGGGUGGGGCCGAUCGGGCUCGAGAAGGUCCGUGAGCUCGCGCUGGGGCUGGAGGCCACCGGCCGGCCCUUCCUGUGGGCGCUCAAGAAGGACCCGUCGUGGCGCGCGGGGCUCCCCGACGGCUACGCCGAGAGGGUGGCCGCGGCCGGCCGCGGCAAGGUGGUGGGCUGGGCGCCGCAGGAGGAGGUGCUCACGCACGACGCCGUCGGCUGCUACCUCACGCACUGCGGCUGGAACUCCACCGUCGAGGCAAUACGGCACGGGGUGCGGCUGCUGUGCUGCCCCGUCUCCGGGGACCAGUUCAUCAACUGCGCGUACAUCACCCGGGUGUGGGGGAUCGGGAUCAGGCUCGGCGGCGGCAUGAGCAGGGACGAGGUGAAGGACUGCAUCGAGAGGGUCAUGGACGGCAAUGAAGGGAGGCGUCUGCAGGAGAAGAUGGACGCGCUGAGGGAGAGAGUCGUGACGGCCGAGGCGACGAGCUUGGCGCAACGGAACGUUAAGUCCUUCGUGAACGAAAUUAGGAGGGACCAUCCUCCUUUGUCGAUGCAGAUGUACAGCAUAUUGUAG